RNAcentral lists this ribosomal RNA (448 nucleotides) under uncultured bacterium. RNAcentral's name for it is "SSU rRNA". It matches the Rfam family "Bacterial small subunit ribosomal RNA", at positions 26 to 518 of the family's 1533-position model. The record is from RNAcentral.
AGAGCGAACGCUGGCGGCAGGCUUAACACAUGCAAGUCGAGCGGGCGUAGCAAUACGUCAGCGGCAGACGGGUGAGUAACGCGUGGGAACGUACCUUUUGGCUCGGAACAACACAGGGAAACUUGUGCUAAUACCGGAUAAGCCCUUACGGGGAAAGAUUUAUCGCCAAAAGAUCGGCCCGCGUCUGAUUAGCUAGUUGGUGAGGUAACGGCUCACCAAGGCGACGAUCAGUAGCUGGUCUGAGAGGAUGAUCAGCCACAUUGGGACUGAGACACGGCCCAAACUCCUACGGGAGGCAGCAGUGGGAAUAUUGGACAAUGGGCGCAAGCCUGAUCCAGCCAUGCCGCGUGAGUGAUGAAGGCCCUAGGGUUGUAAAGCUCUUUUGUGCGGGAAGAUAAUGACGGUACCGCAAGAAUAAGCCCCGGCUAACUUCGUAGCCAGCAGCCGC